This is a long non-coding RNA of Numida meleagris (helmeted guineafowl), 1552 nucleotides long. The record is from Ensembl. Lineage: Eukaryota; Metazoa; Chordata; Aves; Galliformes; Numididae.
UUCAUGUUUGUAGUGUUUGAUGCAAAUGGCUUUCUGAUACAUGCAUUUGUCCAGUGCUUUCUGAAGACCAACCAUCCAGUGAAGAACUGAGGAUAUAAGAGUCUGUUUCCUAUUUAAAGAAUAUUGUCAGAAUCAGUUUCUUUGCUACUCUUUUCCAGAGAGAGGGACUAAUGAUGUUCCAUCAGUGGUUUCAGAAAUAGGCAACCAGAAUGCACAUCUAUAGUGAAGUGAAAACAAAUUUCUAAGGACUGUUUUAAAGUACUGACAGGGCCAGUGUUUCUUAAUAGCCAUCAGCCUCUGAUGCAUAAUAAGCAAAUUCCAAGCAAAAUAAUAAUAUUUGAAUUGCCUGUCCUGCACUUACAGGAAGGGGUAACAUUAAUGUUGAUAUUUAAAUAUCUACAUUUUCACCAUAUUUCCUUUGCGUAGACUUAUUUUGUGAGUCCUAAAAUCAGAGCUGUCUGGGAUAAGUUUAGGUAUCAGAUUUGGCUGAUGAAAUGUUUUGUCAUUCUUCAUGCCAACUUUCCCAACUCCUAUUUUUUUUUUUGCUAUUAAAUACUUUUUUUUUUUUUAAUACAGAUUAUUUAUCAUCCUUCCCCUAGGAAGUUCGUAUAAUGUGUUUUGACUUCUGUUGUUAAGAGGUCAGGCAGCCCAGCCCUAACACUGAAAACUGAAACACCGGACUUACUGGGGUAAAUGUCACAGGAAAACCAAGCCAAAACUGAGUGACAGCUGGGUUACUUGAAGGUUAUUAAGUGGCAACUUAUUGAGGCUUUUGGAAGCCCAUCAUGUCUUAGAGAGAAAGGACAUGGGAGAGGGAUUUCCAAAGUAAAUUCUGUCUUCAGUUUUGUUUUCAUCCUCCUGCUGGUGCAGAACUUAUUACACAUCUUCUUAACUGAUAUAGUUGAAUAGAAAUGUGAGCAGGAAGUGCGCCUUGGAAACUGCUUGGAAAUGAUUUCCUUCCAGGGGAAUGGUCUCAUGUGGCAGCUGCAGCCUUCGGACCAGAGGGUGCCAGCACCCAGAGUGUGGUGGGUUCAGCACCAGGGCCAGUUCCGGCACAGCCAGCGGGACGCGGCAAGACUGGGAAAAUAAAAUGACUUCCAAGGAGCUCUGUCUGAGAGAGCAGAUGCACCCUAUGAAGACAGACCUAAAUCCAUCCAAGGUGUUGUGAAGAAGCAGGAAAAUUACACACGAAAGAAAGUUUUCAAGUUUUAAAUAGCUUUUUUUCUAGUUGUAAAACAGCUCAAUGUUUGUAUCUGUUAAAUCUUUUAAAUUAUUAAAUAGUCCUGAAGGCACCUGGAAAUUAAAGGAUAAUUGGAAGAAAUAACAAUGUGAUGAGGAAAUUGGGGAUGCAGAGUGUUAAACUGUCCUUCAAAGUGUCAGCGAUUAAAAUUAAUUAAGAUUCAUGACUAGCAUUGUGAGACUCUGUGGUAGAAGGGUAAUGCCAUAGGGAAAUAUGAAGAGUUAUUUGAAUUAUUUUUCUCAAUGGCUGUUUGACUAUUACCAGAGAAACUUGGAAAAGUUUUUGAUGAGUUGUUUUGCUUUUGAAUCAAAG